Molecule: long non-coding RNA, 2123 nt
Organism: Equus caballus (horse)
Lineage: Eukaryota; Metazoa; Chordata; Mammalia; Perissodactyla; Equidae
Source: Ensembl
AGGAAUUUUUAAAACGAGGAAAAGCAAAAUAUUUUAUAUGAGCACAUGACAAAGGGUCAUUGCUUCAUGAGAAGCUGUCAGCAUGCUUUGGGUGGCAUCACCUUUGAGGGGCAUGCUGAAGCUGUAAAACCCAGCUGGAGCCUCUAAAUGGGCGGAAGAACACUGAAGGGAAUGGAACACUGGCAAAAAGAGUGAGGUCAGGGAACAUGGUGGAUAAGGGGAAUCCUGGGCUUUCACUGUGGGUAGUGAGGAUUACCGCAAACCUGAAGCCCCUCAAAGCUGACUCAAGAGCAGGUUUAAUGGAGAAGCACAUGGCAAAAUCAUCGGUCUCCACCUGCAUCUUACCUAGCACAGUAUUGUGCACAUACUCGGAGGUCAACGAACACUUAGAUUGACUAGGAUAAUGGUGGUUUUAAAGGUAUUAUGUGUAUUUAUAAAUGACUGCAGUGAAUUUAGGGAGCUGUUGGACUCAGUGUCAGUGUUACUGGGGGAAAUGGAUUUCUGAACCACAUCCUAGGACCAAACUAAUGAUCCGAAUCACAUCAAGUGUGGCAGUGGCACAGCAAGAAUUUAACUCUUUAUUUAUUCCCCAGCUUUGUUAGGAUUCUCUUUGGUCAGCAGGUGUUGCAGGACAGCUGCAUGCUCUGUAGGGAACCCGGGGGGCAGGGAAAAGCCCUGCUGAGGUCGCCGGCAUCUGUUCCUCCCUCUGCAGCUACCUCACGUCCAUUACUUCUGAAUUCUUGGCCGACGGUGCAAAAGCUGCAGAGAGUGAACCCACUGCAGAGGCCACAUGGAAGAGAUUUUCCUCUCUGCCUGGGAGAAUAUCGGGUCACCAGCCAGAAGCCAAUGAACACUUAUGGACGGUUAUGAUGGAAUAACGUGUUCAGAGAGGUCAUUUUUUCAUAAUCCCAUGACAUAGGGAUGUCUUACUUUCACACUUCUAAAAUUAUACAAGUAAUACAUACUAAUUUGAGAAUAGAGGUAUAUAAUGAAGGAAAUCGUUAUUCUGUAUGCUGUCCACUUACAAUAACAAUGUAUUUCUUUUUUAAAACUGAGAUCACGUUGUAUAUUCCAUUUUUUAAGCCUUUCUCCCUGUUAAUAUAUUUUUUCAGCUGCAUAAUGACUCAUUUUUCUAUUUGAUCUGAAACAUGAAAAUUGAGAGAAGUCUAUAAACUCCAGCUGCCCCAGUUCCUUAACUUACUGAGUCUUGAUUGUUCAGUUCUUCCUUCAAUUCUGUGAGAUAAUCCAGGACCCUUUCAAUAAAAUCUUCCUUCUAUUUAAGCUAGGGAGUCACUUUUUGGUGUCUGAUACCAAGAAAACCUUAAGCAAUAUACACAAGAAUCAUGUGAAAGAUAAAGAAAAACAGAGGAAGACGCUCAGGUGUAGUAAAAAGUGCUGCUCUCAAUGGGGCACGUCGAAGUUACAAAAACAAAAUGAAAAACAAACUCUUAUCUGAAACUGCAUGAAAAAGAGAGAGAAACUUACAGAGAAAUGGAACCCCUUUAAAAAGAGGAUUAGAUCCUGUGGCAGCAGGGAAAGAAAUUAGACAUCCAGGAGGCAAAUGCUAUCUAGAGCUUAAAAUAAUCUACAAAAAAAAAAAAAGAAGAUUUUGGGGAGGAUUAUAUGGUCCAGGACUCUAUAAGGUGUGAGACGAACCAAACACAGUAACCCUCGAUUAGAAACUGAUUAGAUUCUUCAGGUGGUGAAACUUUGGACGUGAGACAACAUUGACUGGAUGAAAUGCCAGGGAGGGGUUGGGGCCUUGGCCCAGAUAGAGCAAAAGAAGACGAGAGUGAGAAUUACCGGUUUCCUCAAAAAAGAUUUUUCUUUAAACUUUCUGUAUUUUGCAAAUAUUCUAAAUUAAGCCUGAACAGAGCAAGAGGCUCUGUUUCCUUUAAGGUAAAGUGGACAAUUUUAAUUAAAAUUUAAAAGCUCACUAAAAAAAUUAGCUUACAAUUGCCACUUCAGAAGGAAGAUCUUGUAAAUAUAUCAGCUCUUAGAUAACUUGUCACAUUUCUCACAAUUUUUUUGUCAUUUAGUUUUGUUAAAGAAAUGGGGAGACCAUUUUGAAUUAAACUAAUAUUUAUAUGCAGAAAAAAUUGGAUGCAUUAAAUCUCUGGAGU